UCCGGUUUGUCACCGGCAGUCUCCCUAGAGUUCCCAUCCGAAAUGCUGGCAACAUAGGGCAAGGGUUGCGCUCGUUACGGGACUUAACCCAACAUCUCACGACACGAGCUGACGACAGCCAUGCAGCACCUGUCUUACGGUUCCCGAAGGCACCAAUCCAUUUCUGGAAAGUUCCGUAGAUGUCAAGACCAGGUAAGGUUCUUCGCGUUGCAUCGAAUUAAUCCGCAUGCUCCGCUGCUUGUGCGGGCCCCCGUCAAUUCUUUUGAGUUUUAGCCUUGCGGCCGUACUCCCCAGGCGGAACACUUAUCGCGUUGGCUUCGGCACAGACAGAUUCGACUCCGCCCACACCUAGUGUUCAUCGUUUACGGCGUGGACUAC
This 378-nucleotide unclassified non-coding RNA is filed under the name uncultured bacterium. RNAcentral describes it as "contains 16S-23S intergenic spacer region". The record is from RNAcentral.